CUGCUGUUAUACAGAAAGAAAAGAUAUAGGAGUGGAAAGCCUAUAUUAUGACGGUACUGUAUCAGAAAGUGACGGCAAACUAUGUGCCAGCAGCCGCGGUAAUACAUAGGUCACAAGCGUUAUCCGAAAUUAUUGGGCGUAAAGCGUCCGUAGGUUGUUUGUUAAGUCUGGAGUUAAAGACCGGUGCUCAACGCCGGCACGCUUUAGAUACUGGCAAACUAGAGUUAUAAAGAGGUAAGUGGAAUUUCAUGUGAAGCGGUGGAAUGCGUAGAUAUAUGAAAGAACACCAAUGGCGAAGGCAGCUUACUGGUUAUAUACUGACACUGAGGGACGAAAGCGUGGGGAGCAAACAGGAUUAGAUACCCUGGUAGUCCACGCCGUAAACGACGAUCAUUAGUUGGUGGGGGAACCCUCGCUAACGCAGCUAACGCAUUAAAUGAUCCGCCUGAGUAGUAUGCUCGCAAGAGUGAAACUUAAAGGAAUUGACGGGGACCCGCACAAGCGGUGGAGCAUGUGGUUUAAUUUGACGAUACGCGUAGAACCUUACCCACUCUUGACAUCCCUUGCAAAGCUAUAGAGAUAUAGUGGAGGUUAACAAGGUGACAGAUGGUGCAUGGUUGUCGUCAGCUCGUGUCGUGAGAUGUUCGGUUAAGUCCUGCAACGAGCGCAACCCCUAUCCUUAUUUACUAACAUUAAGUUGAGAACUAUACGGAUACUGCUCAGGUAACUGGGAGGAAGGUGGGGAUGACGUCAAAUCAUCAUGCCUCUUACGAGUGGGGCAACACACGUGCUACAAUGGCCGGUACAAAGAGACGCAAUAUGGUGACAUGGAGCAAAUCUGAAAAACCGGUCUCAGUUCGGAUUGAAGGCUGCAAUUCGCCUUCAUGAAGUCGGAAUCGCUAGUAAUCGUAGAUCAGCUACGCUACGGUGAAUACGUUCUCGGGUCUUGUACACACCGCCCGUCACACCAUGGGAGCCGGUAAUGCCCAAAGUC
Molecule: ribosomal RNA, 994 nt
Filed under: Mycoplasma sp. Tm20
Lineage: Bacteria; Bacillati; Mycoplasmatota; Mollicutes; Mycoplasmatales; Mycoplasmataceae
Description: bacterial SSU rRNA
Rfam family: Bacterial small subunit ribosomal RNA
Source: RNAcentral